This is a non-coding RNA of Bos taurus (domestic cattle), 72 nucleotides long. The record is from Rfam. Lineage: Eukaryota; Metazoa; Chordata; Mammalia; Artiodactyla; Bovidae.
UCCCUGCUGUCUCAGCUGGUAAAGAAUCUGCCUGCAAUGCAGGAGACCUGGGUUUGGUCCCUGGGUUGGGAA